RNAcentral lists this ribosomal RNA (253 nucleotides) under uncultured bacterium. Its description in RNAcentral is "partial 16S ribosomal RNA". It matches the Rfam family "Bacterial small subunit ribosomal RNA", at positions 524 to 776 of the family's 1533-position model. The record is from RNAcentral.
UACGUAGGUGGCAAGCGUUGUUCGGAAUUAUUGGGCGUAAAGGGCGCGUAGGCGGUUUGUUAAGUCGGUCGUGAAAGCCCGGGGCUCAACCCCGGAGGGUCGACCGACACUGGCAGACUAGAGUACAGAAGAGGUAACUGGAAUUCCCGGUGUAGCGGUGAAAUGCGUAGAUAUCGAGAGGAACACCUGCGGCGAAGGCGGGUUGCUGGGCUGACACUGACGCUGAGGCGCGAAAGCUAGGGGAGCGAACGGG